This 270-nucleotide ribosomal RNA is filed under the name uncultured bacterium. RNAcentral describes it as "partial 16S ribosomal RNA". It matches the Rfam family "Bacterial small subunit ribosomal RNA", at positions 793 to 1055 of the family's 1533-position model. The record is from RNAcentral.
GUCCACGCCGUAAACGAUGCAUGCUGGCUGUCGGAGGUAUUCACCCCUUCGGUAGCGAAGCUAACGCGUUAAGCAUGCCGCCUGGGGAGUACGGCCGCAAGGUUGAAACUCAAAGGAAUUGACGGGGGCCCGCACAAGCGGUGGAGUAUGUGGUUUAAUUCGACGCAACGCGCAGAACCUUACCCAGCCUUGACAUCCACAGAACCCGGUAGAAAUAUUGGGGUGCCCUGGCAACAGGGAGCUGUGAGACAGGUGCUGCAUGACUGUCGU